RNAcentral lists this ribosomal RNA (514 nucleotides) under uncultured bacterium. RNAcentral describes it as "partial 16S ribosomal RNA". It matches the Rfam family "Bacterial small subunit ribosomal RNA", at positions 28 to 523 of the family's 1533-position model. The record is from RNAcentral.
GAUGAACGCUGGCGGCGUGCCUAAUACAUGCAAGUCGAGCGAAUGGAUUAAGAGCUUGCUCUUAUGAAGUUAGCGGCGGACGGGUGAGUAACACGUGGUAACCUGCCCAUAAGACUGGGAUAACUCCGGGAAACCGGGGCUAAUACCGGAUAACAUUUUGAACAGCAUGGUUCGAAAUUGAAAGGCGGCGUCGGCUGUCACUUAUGGAUGGACCCGCGUCGCAUUAGCUAGUUGGUGAGGUAACGGCUCACCAAGGAAACGAUGCGUAGCCGACCUGAGAGGGUGAUCGGCCACACUGGGACUGAGACACGGCCCAGACUCCUACGGGAGGCAGCAGUAGGGAAUCUUCCGCAAUGGACGAAAGUCUGACGGAGCAACGCCGCGUGAGUGAUGAAGGCUUUCGGGUCGUAAAACUCUGUUGUUAGGGAAGAACAAGUGCUAGUUGAAUAAGCUGGCACCUUGACGGUACCUAACCAGAAAGCCACGGCUAACUACGUGCCAGCAGCCGCCGUAA